Molecule: ribosomal RNA, 415 nt
Filed under: uncultured bacterium
Lineage: Bacteria
Description: bacterial SSU rRNA
Rfam family: Bacterial small subunit ribosomal RNA
Source: RNAcentral
GGCCAGCAGCCGCGGUAAUACGUAGGUGGCAAGCGUUGUCCGGAAUUAUUGGGCGUAAAGCGCGCGCAGGCGGAAGCUUAAGUCUAUCUUAAAAGUGCGGGGCUCAACCCCGUGAUGGGAUAGAAACUGGGUUUCUUGAGUGCAGGAGAGGACAGUGGAAUUCCCAGUGUAGCGGUGAAAUGCGUAGAUAUUGGGAGGAACACCAGUGGCGAAGGCGACUGUCUGGACUGUGUCUGACGCUGAGGCGCGAAAGCCAGGGUAGUGAACGGGAUUAGAUACCCCGGUAAUCCUGGCCGUAAACGAUGGGUACUAGGUGUUGGGGGUAUCGACCCCUCCAGUGCCGGAGUUAACGCAAUAAGUACCCCGCCUGGGGAGUACGGCCGCAAGGUUGAAACUUAAAGGAAUUGGCGGGGGA